UACGAAGGGGGCUAGCGUUGUUCGGCAUUACUGGGCGUAAAGGGCGCGUAGGCUGUGCUGUAAGUCAGGCGUGAAAGCCCCGGGCUCAACCUGGGAAUUGCGCUUGAUACUGCGGCGCUGGAAGGUGGGAGAGGAUGGCGGAAUUCCCAGUGUAGAGGUGAAAUUCGUAGAUAUUGGGAAGAACACCGGUGGCGAAGGCGGCCAUCUGGCCCACAAUUGACGCUGAGGCGCGAAAGCGUGGGGAGCAAACAGG
Molecule: ribosomal RNA, 253 nt
Filed under: uncultured bacterium
Lineage: Bacteria
Description: partial 16S ribosomal RNA
Rfam family: Bacterial small subunit ribosomal RNA
Source: RNAcentral